CUUAACGGAGUUUUUUAAAGUAUGUUUUUGUACCGAAAAGUUUUGAUCUUAGAUUUAGUUGUUUAGAAGUGUUGUUUUGGUCUGGGUAAGGUCUUGUAAACAAAAUUUAUGUGGUGAUAAAUGAGUCGUAAAGCUUUAUAACUGUUUGGUUGUUUAGAAUUUAGUGGGAUGUAGGUGGCUAUUAGGUCAUUUAUAUUUUUAUACAUUUGGUGAUGUGUGGUUUUUGAUAAGGUUAGAGGUACCUAGUUUUUGUUAUAUUGUUGUAAAUAUGGUUUUGUUGGUUUAUUGGUAUGUUAAUUGUUUGAACAACUGUUUUGCUAUAUUUGGUUAUUAUAUUAUCGUUGAAUAAGUAAUUUUAUUAUGCUAUUUAUUUCUUGAGUUCUUUCCGUCUGUUUAUUAAAAACAUUUCUAAUUUUAAUUGUAGUUAGUAGUGCCUGCCCAAUGUUGGUUAAUUAAUGGCCGCAGUAUAUUGACUGUGCAAAGGUAGCAUAAUUAAUUGCCUUUUAAUUGGAGGCUUGUUUGAAUGGUUUGACGUGAUUGGUAUGAAUAUUUGGUAUUUAGUUGAAAUUGAUUUUGAGGGUUUAGAAUCCUUAAUGUUUAAUAAGACGGAAAGACCCUAGGAUCUUUUGUUUUUGUUUGGGGCAAAUAUGGUUGUUAUUUGAAUAUUGUGACCCU
RNAcentral lists this ribosomal RNA (675 nucleotides) under Echinococcus granulosus. RNAcentral describes it as "partial 16S ribosomal RNA". The stretch from base 385 to 537 matches the Rfam family "Archaeal large subunit ribosomal RNA", at positions 1887 to 2086 of the family's 2987-position model. The record is from RNAcentral. Lineage: Eukaryota; Metazoa; Platyhelminthes; Cestoda; Cyclophyllidea; Taeniidae.